UUAAUAAAAGCUUAUUUUUAAGCAUUUCAUUGUUAAUGAAAAGAAGAAUAAAAUUCUUGUUAAG
Molecule: transfer RNA, 64 nt
Filed under: Echinolaelaps echidninus
Lineage: Eukaryota; Metazoa; Arthropoda; Arachnida; Mesostigmata; Laelapidae
Description: tRNA-Asn
Source: RNAcentral